Molecule: ribosomal RNA, 253 nt
Filed under: uncultured bacterium
Lineage: Bacteria
Description: partial 16S ribosomal RNA
Rfam family: Bacterial small subunit ribosomal RNA
Source: RNAcentral
UACGGAGGGAGCUAGCGUUGUUCGGAAAUACUGGGCGUAAAGCGCGCGUAGGCGGACCUGCAAGUCGGGGGUGAAAGCCCGGGGCUCAACCCCGGAAUUGCCUUUAAGACUGCAUCGCUUGAAUCCGGGAGAGGUGAGUGGAAUUCCGAGUGUAGAGGUGAAAUUCGUAGAUAUUCGGAAGAACACCAGUGGCGAAGGCGGCUCACUGGACCGGCAUUGACGCUGAGGUGCGAAAGCGUGGGGAGCAAACAGG